Molecule: long non-coding RNA, 336 nt
Organism: Oncorhynchus keta (chum salmon)
Lineage: Eukaryota; Metazoa; Chordata; Actinopteri; Salmoniformes; Salmonidae
Exons: 2
Source: RefSeq, a predicted model, not a curated record
AAAAUAGAGAAGAGUAAGGUUUGUUGGUUUGUUGGCAUGUUGAGGGUUUCACACUCUGUGGGGUUAUAUUUACUUUACCACCUACUGUUAGUGCUUUCAUAAGAUGGCUGAGAGACCAUCAAUUAAAAUGUUAUAAUGUAGAAUGUUUUGCCAAUGUUAUAGGUAGAGUUUUCAUGUUGGAAUUCAAUGUUAUAGGUAGAGUUUUCAUGUUGUAAUUCAAUAGGUAGAGUUAAUGUUUUAAUUCAAUUGUAAUUAAAAUUGAACGCAUGUGUGCAUAGUUAAUACAUGCCAAUGUAUUUUUGUUUUUAAUGAGAAUAAAUACGAAGCUCCUAUGAA